GGUCUGGUGGUGUAGUUGGUUAUCACGUCAGUCUAACAGUCUGUGCUCCCGUAAGCUGUACACUGAAGGUCUCCGGUUCAAGUCCGGGCUAGAUCA
This 96-nucleotide transfer RNA is filed under the name Colletotrichum orbiculare MAFF 240422. RNAcentral describes it as "tRNA-Val for anticodon AAC". It matches the Rfam family "tRNA". From Rfam's summary of the family: Transfer RNA (tRNA) molecules are approximately 80 nucleotides in length. Their secondary structure includes four short double-helical elements and three loops (D, anti-codon, and T loops). Lineage: Eukaryota; Fungi; Ascomycota; Sordariomycetes; Glomerellales; Glomerellaceae. The record is from Rfam by way of RNAcentral.